CAGUCGCCACGGUAAUACGAAGGGGGCUAGCGUUGCUCGGAAUCACUGGGCGUAAAGGGUGCGUAGGCGGGUCUUUAAGUCAGGGGUGAAAUCCUGGAGCUCAACUCCAGAACUGCCUUUGAUACUGAAGAUCUUGAGUUCGGGAGAGGUGAGUGGAACUGCGAGUGUAGAGGUGAAAUUCGUAGAUAUUCGCAGGAACACCAGUGGCGAAGGCGGCUCACUGGCUCGAUACUGACGCUGAGGUGCGAAAGCGUGGGGAGCAAACAGGAUUAGAUACCCCUGUAGUCCCUGUCUCUUAUAC
Molecule: ribosomal RNA, 301 nt
Filed under: uncultured bacterium
Lineage: Bacteria
Description: partial 16S ribosomal RNA
Rfam family: Bacterial small subunit ribosomal RNA
Source: RNAcentral